CACAUUACCAACUCCGGAAGACGAUCAAAGCAGCCAAACGGUUGCACCAAAGAAGAAGAAGAAAAGAAUGAGGAGGGGCUGAUAAUGAACAUAACUACAGGCUUGGAGGUCCCAAAAGUCAGCUUAUCACACAUUUGAUGUCCAUGUGUGACGACUGCAAGU
This is a non-coding RNA of Maylandia zebra (zebra mbuna), 162 nucleotides long. Lineage: Eukaryota; Metazoa; Chordata; Actinopteri; Cichliformes; Cichlidae. The record is from RefSeq and is a predicted model, not a curated record.